Molecule: ribosomal RNA, 478 nt
Filed under: uncultured bacterium
Lineage: Bacteria
Description: bacterial SSU rRNA
Rfam family: Bacterial small subunit ribosomal RNA
Source: RNAcentral
AAUCAACGCUGGCGGCGUGCCUAACACAUGCAAGUCGAACGCGAAAGGGGAGCAAUCCCUGAGUAGAGUGGCAAACGGGUGAGUAACACGUGGGUGACCUGCCUUCGAGUGGGGGAUAACGUUCCGAAAGGAACGCUAAUACCGCAUGACAUCCUGCUUUUGGAGAAGCGGAGAUCAAAGCUGGGGAUUCGCAAGAACCUAGCGCUUGAAGAGGGGCCCGCGCCUGAUUAGCUAGUUGGUGGGGUAACGGCUCACCAAGGCUUCGAUCAGUAUCCGGCCUGAGAGGGCGGACGGACACACUGGGACUGAGACACGGCCCAGACUCCUACGGGAGGCAGCAGUGGGGAAUUGUUCGCAAUGGGCGCAAGCCUGACGACGCAACGCCGCGUGGAGGAUGAAGAUUUUCGGAUCGUAAACUCCUGUCGAGUGGGACGAAUAGCUUCCGGGCGAAUAUCCCGGAAGUCUGACGGUACCACUA